UACGAAGGGGGCUAGCGUUGUUCGGAUUUACUGGGCGUAAAGCGCACGUAGGCGGAUUUUUAAGUCAGGGGUGAAAUCCUGGAGCUCAACUCCAGAACUGCCUUUGAUACUGGGAAUCUCGAGUCCGGGAGAGGUGAGUGGAACUGCGAGUGUAGAGGUGAAAUUCGUAGAUAUUCGCAAGAACACCAGUGGCGAAGGCGGCUCACUGGCCCGGUACUGACGCUGAGGUGCGAAAGCGUGGGGAGCAAACAGG
RNAcentral lists this ribosomal RNA (253 nucleotides) under uncultured bacterium. RNAcentral's name for it is "partial 16S ribosomal RNA". It matches the Rfam family "Bacterial small subunit ribosomal RNA", at positions 524 to 776 of the family's 1533-position model. The record is from RNAcentral.